Molecule: unclassified non-coding RNA, 320 nt
Filed under: Hevea brasiliensis (rubber tree)
Lineage: Eukaryota; Viridiplantae; Streptophyta; Magnoliopsida; Malpighiales; Euphorbiaceae
Source: RNAcentral
GGAUCCAAGAGAUCAUAAAGGAGUGUGUCCCUUCAACUCAAGGAAAAUAGUUUAAUAAAAAGUGGGAUGUAUUUUUGUGUAAAAUGGAUGACCAAAUAAUCAGCUACACCUUAUGAAUAUGCUGUAUUUCAUUUGAAUCUUGCUUUUGUAUGAUCCCACAAGCUUGUCGAGUUCUUGUAACAAUGCAAAAUAUACCUAUAGAACAGUGCAUCAAAAUAAGGGAAGCUGCUUCAUGGAAAGCUUUGAUUAAUUCCUUAAGGAGAUGAUGAUCAUAUGUAUUCUUAUGGAGGAAAAGAAAUAAAGCAUAAGUUGUGUGUGAC